Molecule: long non-coding RNA, 3768 nt
Filed under: Toxoplasma gondii VEG
Lineage: Eukaryota; Apicomplexa; Conoidasida; Eucoccidiorida; Sarcocystidae
Source: RNAcentral
CAAAAGUGGCUUUCCUCGCCCUUCUCCCAGUUAAUUCAUGCUUCACUUCUGUGUCGCUGUCUGCUUCUUGAGGCUAACCCCCUCCAUUCCCAUCGUACACGCUCGGCGAGUGAACGGUUGCAGUCGCUGCCAGUUCUCCGUACCAAGGCGUACAGUUGUUGUCCAUGUGUCCAUGGGUUUCCGUUCCAUUUUUGUUUGUCCUUUGCUACGGAGCAAUUCCAAAUUCCGCCCUUACUUGUUGCUUUUCUCCGUAGACUCAGAAUGCAGAGCAGCCGACCAUCGCUGACGAGUCACCUCCUCCGGGCCCGGGAUGCAAAAUUGCGGUCCGGCCCGAUACACGCUACACGGCUGUUUCCAUUCGUUCCCUUUGUUUCCCUCGACGGACUGAUGGCGGCUACCACGAAAUAUCGAGUGCCGCAAGCAGUCCUCUGGAAAGAAAAAAGGUUUAUUGAGAAAAGAGAUGGAAAAUAAUCAAGACCGGAUGCGGCGAGAGCUAGGGUUGUGAGAACCUGGUAGAGUGUAGAAAGCGGAGCGAAGCAUGCAGGUCCUCUUGGUUGUGCUCCCCGUGCAUAAAUAUUUACAUACACAAGGCCAUUCUGUAUGCCUUUCACAAAAAGUUGAGAAGCAGGCUACGUGGCACCUGAUUGGACACUCGAGAACGCAAGACCGCGACACUUCCUAUCACGUGCUACCCCCUGGUUUGGCUUUGUUUUAGGAGAAUCUCUACAGAGCGAGAGCAGUGCGUCUCUUCUGUCCCCCAGUGUUCAUCUCUUCGUGAAAGCGAAGUACGCGUGCCAGAAGAAAGGCAUCUCCCGUGGGAGUACAUAUCUGAGAAGCCAGUGGUAAAAGGUAAUACAGAUACAGAUCGAAACUAGGCAUCCGAGCGGUAGUUAAAUAACAACAAUACCAGUUAUACACCCCUCGAGUCAGAUGGGCGGAAGUACACAAAAAUACGAAGAAAGCUGUUUUAGCACCGUCGCCUUUCUUUCCGCAGCGCCCCCGUUGGUUCCGUCUGCUUUCGCCCCUCUCUUCAUUUCCUUUUCCUGGGUGAAAGCCCCUCCUUCCCACUUGGUCGUCAGAAAGCGUCCAUUCACAUGCUGCCGAUCAUCCUGAGCUCACGAUCUCGGGAGUGAAACCGGAAAUCCUGGACAAGUACACAGAGACAAGGUGCCUGUGGGCUUCCGACACCAUUGUAUAAUCUCAGUAUGCUAGUAAGGUGCUUUGUGCAUCUUCCAUGUAAGGUUUUGUAAAUGUGAUUCCUUGUCUCUUCGUGUACGAGUGAAAGAGCUAAUUGCGUCGAAAGGGAAGCGUCUACGGCAGAGACAGUGUUUGCUGAAGAGUCUAGGCAAUCGGUUGUCCUCCUGGUUUAGAUUUCGAAGAUCUUCGCUAAACGGCCCCAAGCUCUAUAGUGUCCUAGCGCGUGUUUUAGAGCACUCUGUAUAUCCAUGAGUCUAUUCGGACACACCUUGUUUUUGAGUUGUGUGCUCGAAGAGCAUCAUCGACCGUUUCAGUGCUAGUCUCGCAUUCGCUGCUUCUACCCUCAGGUGACUUUUCUCUUCGAGAGCAUAGACACACAGAUGUCUCUGGGAAGUCAGCUGGCGGAAAGAUCCCCAACAAUGAUGGUCGAAAAUUCCCGGUACUACACGGGGAAACGCUCACAAGCUCACCCGUCAGAAUCCUGAUCUAGGUCUGAUCCUAUGACGCCCUAUCAUCUAGAGUGGAUGUCUGUAGGAUGGACGCUCAUAAAACUCUGCCUAUCCGCAAAAAAAUGUAACAUGGAUACUGCACUACGCAACACAUUCCGUCUUGGUGCAAUCUUUGUAACUAUAUAUGAACUUGUCUUCUCUAGAAAAAAUAUAUUCGGAGAUACUCCAAACCUAUUCCAUGUGAAAACAACUGUAAUGCGGAUACCACUACACUUUGUGCACUUAACAUGAUCAUCAUGGAAGGCGCAAUAGAACGUUGAUCCGGAAAACACAGAGCUUCAAGACCUGAACAACGAGUCCACCCCGUAGUAUAUACUCUCCAAAAAAUGCAAAUGCUCCAAUUUCACCCGGUUUCGGUGUAGUGUCUCAAACUCCAGCGGUCUUCAGUGGUCAUUCUAUGGUUCUAGCUCCUGUGACAUACCUCAGCUAUUCAAAAUUAGAAUGCCGCUCCACGAUAUCUCGCGGGUCAACGGAGACUCUUGUUUUACUGGAAAGCCAACAAAACGGUUCAAAUCGACCGUGUUUGGUGUAUGUCGUGCUGCAACUUCGAUUAACCUUGUCUUGCGUGGGGGGGACCCGAGGAUAGCAUGGUCUGGACAGUGUCAACUCUUUCCCUCACAGCAACGGCUGUGUUGGUGUAUAUGCAUACAGACAACUCCGAAGGGAACGUUGUGGACAGUCGCUUAGUUACUCUUACUUCCUCUUGCACUCCUUUGUCCCGGCAGGCGGCACAGGAGGGCGCGCUGACGAAUGGGAUGAGGUACCCCGUAGAACCAGUCGGAUUCUUCCACGGAGAUACUUGUCCCGCCUCCGUCUUGUUUUUUGCUGUUUACCAUUACCACCGUGCGAAGAAGGUUACCCCAAUGACUAAAGCGAAGAGGUUGUCCCUUUUCUGGGGAAGGACCGCAAAAAGCACACGAAGAAUUCGAUAGCUUUACUGACGACGGGUAACAAGCCAUGGUAUCGGCUGCGGAGGCGAGAGGGGACCCCUCACUUUCCGGCAGUGGUGAAGAGCGGCGAGGUCCUCUUGCGUUCCGUGUUUCCCUUCUUCCAAAGGAGUUUUGUUUUAGACGUAUACGGAAGAAAUCAAAGAAAUGUGCAUCCAUUUUUAACUCCCCUGGUGGCUCUUCUGCUAGCCCUGUCGCAGGGCCCCGGGUGCCCGCGCUGCUGUUGUGGGCUCCUCUGUUCCCCUUGAGGGUAGCUGACGGGCCUGAAGCUCAGCCCCGCCAGGUGUUACUUCCUUUCUGUUUUUUCUGUGUGUUUUCCGUUUCCCUUCUCCCCGAGAAGCGGGCUGACUCCCCAGAUUCGCUGGGAAAACCGGUUCGCCCUCUAGCGUACUUGACAUGGCAUCUGUGUCUACUCUGUCAUUGAACGUCGCCUCUCUUUCCUCAGCCCUCUGUGUACCGCUUCUCUUUUUCUAACAGCAGACUACGCGCUAUGCCAGAGAAUUCCUGUUCACAGGCGAGAGAAUCUCUAGGACUCUCGGCUCCCCGCGAAUUCGUGUUUGGGUUCACUCCACUUCAAGACCCGUCUUUCUGCAGCAGACGCUCGUCUUUCGCAUGUGGCCUAGCCAUUUUGUCUCUACAGAGGAGUCCACGCAACAGCUCCUUUCCACAUUUUCCAGAUUUCGCAGUUGUUCUCUAGAAGCUCAGGUGCAGCGGGCUCUGUGUGUGAGGCGGCACGCUGGGACGUCUGUACCCCGGCUGGCUGCCAUGUAAACGACGCGUAGAACGGACAUCUGUGUCCAGGCGACUUUCGAGCUUUCUGUCUUGGCUAUUCCUUUCUGCUGGAAAUGUGUUCUUCCCGCCUUGCUCGCCGUCCACAUUCGGCGUCCGUGGCGCUCUGGCUCACGAAAGAAGCCACCACAACCGCCACUCUCCAAGUACCGUCCCUCCUUGCGAUUUAUGUUUGGUCUCUACCGCCACCUUUCUAAUUUUCGCUUCUUCCUCGUUCGCUUUCGUUGCAUCUACCUCCAUUUCUUCUCGAUCGGUGUACAAAACUCGACAAAGGACGCCCAGAAUUUUGAUGGCAACUCAGCAGAUCCCGAGAGGACAGAUUUACG